UGUGGGUGUUAACUCGGUCAGAUG
Molecule: microRNA, 24 nt
Filed under: Capitella teleta
Lineage: Eukaryota; Metazoa; Annelida; Polychaeta; Capitellidae
Description: Cte-Mir-36_5p* (star (passenger))
Source: RNAcentral